Molecule: transfer RNA, 74 nt
Filed under: Danionella translucida
Lineage: Eukaryota; Metazoa; Chordata; Actinopteri; Cypriniformes; Danionidae
Also listed under: 1 other name
Rfam family: tRNA
About the family: Transfer RNA (tRNA) molecules are approximately 80 nucleotides in length. Their secondary structure includes four short double-helical elements and three loops (D, anti-codon, and T loops).
Source: Rfam by way of RNAcentral
GGCCUGUUAGCUCAGCUGGUUAGAGCGUGGUGCUAAUAACGCCAAGUUCGUGGGUUCGAUCCCCACAUGGGCCA